AACGAACGCUGGCGGCAUGCCUAACACAUGCAAGUCGAACGAUUGCCUUCGGGUGAUAGUGGCGCACGGGUGCGUAACGCGUGGGAAUCUGCCCUUAGGUUCGGAAUAACAGCUGGAAACGGCUGCUAAUACCGGAUGAUAUCGCGAGAUCAAAGAUUUAUCGCCUGAGGAUGAGCCCGCGUUGGAUUAGGUAGUUGGUGGGGUAAAGGCCUACCAAGCCGACGAUCCAUAGCUGGUCUGAGAGGAUGAUCAGCCACACUGGGACUGAGACACGGCCCAGACUCCUACGGGAGGCAGCAGUGGGGAAUAUUGGACAAUGGGCGCAAGCCUGAUCCAGCAAUGCCGGGUGAGUGAUGAAGGCCCUAGGGUUGUAAAGCUCUCUUACCCGGGAAGAUAAUGACUGUACCGGGAGAAUAAGCCCCGGCUAACUCCGUG
This 435-nucleotide ribosomal RNA is filed under the name uncultured bacterium. Its description in RNAcentral is "partial 16S ribosomal RNA". It matches the Rfam family "Bacterial small subunit ribosomal RNA", at positions 29 to 507 of the family's 1533-position model. The record is from RNAcentral.